GUGUCAGCAGCCGCGGUAAGACAGAGGGGGCAAGCGUUGCUCGGAAUCACUGGGCGUAAAGGGCGCGUAGGCGGGAUGGCAAGUCGGUCGUGAAAUCCUUCGGCUCAACCGAAGAACGUCGGCCGAUACUGCCGUUCUUGAGGGAUGCAGAGGAGAUUGGAAUUCCCGGUGUAGCGGUGAAAUGUGUAGAGAUCGGGAGGAACACCGGUGGCGAAGGCGGGUCUCUGGGCAUCUCCUGACGCUGAGGCGCGAAAGCGUGGGGAGCAAACGGGAUUAGAUACCCCGGUAGUCC
RNAcentral lists this ribosomal RNA (292 nucleotides) under uncultured bacterium. RNAcentral describes it as "partial 16S ribosomal RNA". It matches the Rfam family "Bacterial small subunit ribosomal RNA", at positions 505 to 796 of the family's 1533-position model. The record is from RNAcentral.